AAAAUGCGAUAAGUAAUGUGAAUUGCAGAAUUCAGUGAAUCAUCGAAUCUUUGAACGCACAUUGCGCCCGCCAGUAUUCUGGCGGGCAUGCCUGUUCGAGCGUCAUUUCAACCCUCAAGCCCCCGGGUUUGGUGUUGGGGAUCGGGCUGCGGUUCUACCGCGUCCCGGCCCCGAAAUCUAGUGGCGGUCUCGCUGCAGCCUUUGUCAGCUUCUCGCGCAGCGAAGAUUGCGUCGACUGGGGCAUGGCGUUGGGCUCGCAUCCACAAAGUUUACCACGAUUUGACCUCGGAUCAGGUAGGGAUACCCGCUGAACUUAAGC
This 319-nucleotide unclassified non-coding RNA is filed under the name plant metagenome. Its description in RNAcentral is "partial contains 5.8S ribosomal RNA, internal transcribed spacer 2, and large subunit ribosomal RNA". The stretch from base 1 to 105 matches the Rfam family "5.8S ribosomal RNA", at positions 50 to 154 of the family's 154-position model. The record is from RNAcentral.